CCUACGGGAGGCAGCAGUGAGGAAUAUUGGUCAAUGGCCGGAAGGCUGAACCAGCCAUGCCGCGUGAAGGUCAGUGCCCUAUGGGCGUUAAACUUCUUUUGUGCGGGAGCAAUAAUGGUCACGUGUGGCCAGACGAGAGUACCGUACGAAUAAGCAUCGGCUAACUCCGUGCCAGCAGCCGCGGUAAUACGGGGGAUGCAAGCGUUAUCCGGAUUUAUUGGGUUUAAAGGGUGCGUAGGCUGUGGGGUAAGUCAGCGGUGAAAUGCCCCCGCUCAACGGGGUGAAGUGCCAUUGAUACUGCCUGGCUGGAAUGCGGAUGCGGUGGGAGGAAUGUGUGGUGUAGCGGUGAAAUGCAUAGAUAUCACACAGAACACCGAUUGCGAAGGCAUCUCACGAAUCCGCGAUUGACGCUGAUGCACGAAAGCGUGGGUAUCAAACAGGAUUAGAUACCCUAGUAGUC
Molecule: ribosomal RNA, 460 nt
Filed under: uncultured bacterium
Lineage: Bacteria
Description: partial 16S ribosomal RNA
Rfam family: Bacterial small subunit ribosomal RNA
Source: RNAcentral